This 959-nucleotide ribosomal RNA is filed under the name uncultured Methanobrevibacter sp. Its description in RNAcentral is "bacterial SSU rRNA". It matches the Rfam family "Archaeal small subunit ribosomal RNA", at positions 42 to 1002 of the family's 1478-position model. Lineage: Archaea; Methanobacteriati; Methanobacteriota; Methanobacteria; Methanobacteriales; Methanobacteriaceae. The record is from RNAcentral.
AUUUAAGCCAUGCGAGUCGAACGAGUUUAGGCUCGUGGCGUACGGCUCAGUAACACGUGGAUAACCUACCCUUAGGACCGGGAUAACCCUGGGAAACUGGGGAUAAUACUGGAUAGGCAAUUAUUCCUGUAAUGGUUUUUUGUUUAAAUGUUUUUUCGCCUAAGGAUGAGUCUGCGGCCGAUUAGGUAGUUGGUUAGGUAAUGGCUUACCAAGCCGUUGAUCGGUACGGGUUGUGAGAGCAAGAGCCCGGAGAUGGAACCUGAGACAAGGUUCCAGGCCCUACGGGGUGCAGCAGGCGCGAAACCUCCGCAAUGUGAGAAAUCGCGACGGGGGGAUCCCAAGCGCCAUUCUUAACGGGAUGGCUUUUCAUUAGUGUAAAGAGCUUUUGGAAUAAGAGCUGGGCAAGACCGGUGCCAGCCGCCGCGGUAACACCGGCAGCUCUAGUGGUAACAAUUUUUAUUGGGCCUAAAGCGUCCGUAGCCGGUUUAAUAAGUCUCUGGUGAAAUCCUGCAGCUUAACUGUGGGAAUUGCUGGAGAUACUAUUAGACUUGAGACCGGGAGAGGUUAGAGGUACUCCCAGGGUAGAGGUGAAAUUCUGUAAUCCUGGGAGGACCACCUGUGGCGAAGGCGGCUAACUGGAACGAACCUGACGGUGAGGGACGAAAGCUAGGGGCGCGAACCGGAUUAGAUACCCGGGUAGUCCUAGCCGUAAACGAUGCGGACUUGGUGUUGGGAUGGCUUUGAGCCGCUCCGGUGCCGAAAGGGAAGCUGUUAAGUCCGCCGCCUGGGAAGUACGGUCGCAAGACUGAAACUUAAAGGAAUUGGCGGGGGAGCACCACAACGCGUGGAGCCUGCGGUUUAAUUCGAUUCAACGCCGGACAUCUCACCAGGAGCGACAGCUGUAUGAUUACCAGGCUGAUGACCUUGUUUGACUAGCUGAGAGGAGGUGCAUGGCCAUC